RNAcentral lists this ribosomal RNA (1696 nucleotides) under Proteus mirabilis. Its description in RNAcentral is "partial 23S ribosomal RNA". It matches the Rfam family "Bacterial large subunit ribosomal RNA", at positions 1223 to 2899 of the family's 2925-position model. Lineage: Bacteria; Pseudomonadati; Pseudomonadota; Gammaproteobacteria; Enterobacterales; Morganellaceae. The record is from RNAcentral.
GUUGGGUAGGGGAGCGUUCUGUAAGCCUGCGAAGGUGUACUGUGAGGUAUGCUGGAGGUAUCAGAAGUGCGAAUGCUGACAUAAGUAACGAUAAUGCGGGUGAAAAACCCGCACGCCGGAAGACCAAGGGUUCCUGUCCAACGUUAAUCGGGGCAGGGUGAGUCGACCCCUAAGGCGAGGCUGAAAAGCGUAGUCGAUGGGAAACGGGUUAAUAUUCCCGUACUGGUGGUAACUGCGAUGGGGGAACGGAGAAGGCUAGGUUGUCCGGGCGACGGUCGUCCCGGUUCAAGCAGGUAGGCAGAGUGAUUAGGCAAAUCCGGUCACUUAAUGCUGAGAUGUGAUGACGAACCACCAAGGUGGUGAAGCAAUUGAUGCCCCGCUUCCAGGAAAAGCCUCUAAGCUUCAGGUUACCAACAAUCGUACCCCAAACCGACACAGGUGGUCAGGUAGAGAAUACUCAGGCGCUUGAGAGAACUCGGGUGAAGGAACUAGGCAAAAUGGUGCCGUAACUUCGGGAGAAGGCACGCUGGCGGUAGGUAAAGUCCCUUGCGGACGGCGCUGAAGCCAGUCGAAGAUACCAGCUGGCUGCAACUGUUUAUUAAAAACACAGCACUGUGCAAACACGAAAGUGGACGUAUACGGUGUGACGCCUGCCCGGUGCUGGAAGGUUAAUUGAUGGGGUUAGCGCAAGCGAAGCUCCUGAUCGAAGCCCCAGUAAACGGCGGCCGUAACUAUAACGGUCCUAAGGUAGCGAAAUUCCUUGUCGGGUAAGUUCCGACCUGCACGAAUGGCGUAAUGAUGGCCAGGCUGUCUCCACCCGAGACUCAGUGAAAUUGAACUCGCUGUGAAGAUGCAGUGUACCCGCGGCAAGACGGAAAGACCCCGUGAACCUUUACUAUAGCUUGACACUGAACAUUGAGCCUUGAUGUGUAGGAUAGGUGGGAGGCUUUGAAGUGUGGACGCCAGUCUGCAUGGAGCCAACCUUGAAAUACCACCCUUUAACGUUUGAUGUUCUAACCUAGGCCCAUAAACUGGGUCGGGGACCGUGUCUGGUGGGUAGUUUGACUGGGGCGGUCUCCUCCUAAAGAGUAACGGAGGAGCACGAAGGUUGGCUAAGCAUGGUCGGACAUCAUGCGGUUAGUGCAAAGGCAUAAGCCAGCUUGACUGCGAGAGUGACGGCUCGAGCAGGUACGAAAGUAGGUCUUAGUGAUCCGGUGGUUCUGAAUGGAAGGGCCAUCGCUCAACGGAUAAAAGGUACUCCGGGGAUAACAGGCUGAUACCGCCCAAGAGUUCAUAUCGACGGCGGUGUUUGGCACCUCGAUGUCGGCUCAUCACAUCCUGGGGCUGAAGUAGGUCCCAAGGGUAUGGCUGUUCGCCAUUUAAAGUGGUACGCGAGCUGGGUUUAGAACGUCGUGAGACAGUUCGGUCCCUAUCUGCCGUGGGCGUUGGAAGAUUGAGAGGGGUUGCUCCUAGUACGAGAGGACCGGAGUGAACGCACCACUGGUGUUCGGGUUGUCAUGCCAAUGGCAUUGCCCGGUAGCUAAGUGCGGAAGAGAUAACCGCUGAAAGCAUCUAAGCGGGAAACUUGCCUCGAGAUGAGUCUUCCCUGUCGCUUUAAGCGACCUAAAGGAACGUUUAAGACUAAGACGUUGAUAGGCUGGGUGUGUAAGCGUAGCGAUACGUUGAGCUAACCAGU